GGGGACGUGACACAAUUGGAUUCAGCCAACCGGUCUCCAAAACCGAGUUGUGAGCGUUCGAAUCGCUCCGUUCCCACCA
RNAcentral lists this transfer RNA (79 nucleotides) under Nitrososphaerota archaeon. RNAcentral's name for it is "tRNA-Trp". It matches the Rfam family "tRNA". Rfam says of the family: Transfer RNA (tRNA) molecules are approximately 80 nucleotides in length. The record is from RNAcentral. Lineage: Archaea; Thermoproteati; Nitrososphaerota.